Neophaeococcomyces mojaviensis is the source of this 100-nucleotide non-coding RNA. NCBI's taxonomy places the organism in Eukaryota, Fungi, Ascomycota, Eurotiomycetes, Chaetothyriales. The record is from the annotation of a GenBank genome assembly.
GGUCUUAUAGUGUAGUGGUGAUCACACCGGAUUUUGAAACAAAUUCGAAAUCCUCCUCACGGAAUUUCCGGUAACCCCGGUUCGAAUCCGGGUAAGACCU